This 424-nucleotide ribosomal RNA is filed under the name Verrucomicrobiota bacterium. Its description in RNAcentral is "Verrucomicrobia bacterium partial 16S ribosomal RNA". It matches the Rfam family "Bacterial small subunit ribosomal RNA", at positions 355 to 776 of the family's 1533-position model. The record is from RNAcentral. Lineage: Bacteria; Pseudomonadati; Verrucomicrobiota.
UGAGGAAUAUUGGUCAAUGGACGCAAGUCUGAACCAGCCAAGUAGCGUGCAGGAUGACGGCCCUAUGGGUUGUAAACUGCUUUUAUAUGGGGAUAAAGUGGGGAACGUGUUCCCUUUUGCAGGUACCAUAUGAAUAAGGACCGGCUAAUUCCGUGCCAGCAGCCGCGGUAAUACGGAAGGUUCGGGCGUUAUCAGGAUUUAUUGGGUUUACAGGGAGCGUAGUCCGUUUGGUAAGCGUGUUGUGAAAUGUAGGAGCUCAACUUCUAGAUUGCAGCGCGAACUGUCAGACUUGAGUGCGCACAACGUAGGCGGAAUUCAUGGUGUAGCGGUGAAAUGCUUAGAUAUCAUGAAGAACUCCGAUUGCGAAGGCAGCUUACGGGAGCGCAACUGACGCUGAAGCUCGAAGGUGCGGGUAUCGAACAGG